This 2905-nucleotide ribosomal RNA is filed under the name Klebsiella aerogenes. RNAcentral's name for it is "23S ribosomal RNA". It matches the Rfam family "Bacterial large subunit ribosomal RNA". The record is from RNAcentral. Lineage: Bacteria; Pseudomonadati; Pseudomonadota; Gammaproteobacteria; Enterobacterales; Enterobacteriaceae.
GGUUAAGCGACUAAGCGUACACGGUGGAUGCCCUGGCAGUCAGAGGCGAUGAAGGACGUGCUAAUCUGCGAAAAGCGUCGGUAAGGUGAUAUGAACCGUUACAGCCGGCGAUGUCCGAAUGGGGAAACCCAGUGCAAUUCGUUGCACUAUCGUUAACUGAAUACAUAGGUUAACGAGGCGAACCGGGGGAACUGAAACAUCUAAGUACCCCGAGGAAAAGAAAUCAACCGAGAUUCCCCCAGUAGCGGCGAGCGAACGGGGAGCAGCCCAGAGUCUGAAUCAGCUUGUGUGUUAGUGGAACGGUCUGGAAAGUCCGACGGUACAGGGUGAUAGUCCCGUACACCAAAAUGCACAGGUUGUGAACUCGAAGAGUAGGGCGGGACACGUGGUAUCCUGUCUGAAUAUGGGGGGACCAUCCUCCAAGGCUAAAUACUCCUGACUGACCGAUAGUGAACCAGUACCGUGAGGGAAAGGCGAAAAGAACCCCGGCGAGGGGAGUGAAAAAGAACCUGAAACCGUGUACGUACAAGCAGUGGGAGCACCUUUAUGGUGUGACUGCGUACCUUUUGUAUAAUGGGUCAGCGACUUAUAUUCUGUAGCAAGGUUAACCGUAUAGGGGAGCCGCAGGGAAACCGAGUCUUAACUGGGCGUUAAGUUGCAGGGUAUAGACCCGAAACCCGGUGAUCUAGCCAUGGGCAGGUUGAAGGUUGGGUAACACUAACUGGAGGACCGAACCGACUAAUGUUGAAAAAUUAGCGGAUGACUUGUGGCUGGGGGUGAAAGGCCAAUCAAACCGGGAGAUAGCUGGUUCUCCCCGAAAGCUAUUUAGGUAGCGCCUCGUGAAUUCAUCUUCGGGGGUAGAGCACUGUUUCGGCUAGGGGGUCAUCCCGACUUACCAACCCGAUGCAAACUACGAAUACCGAAGAAUGUUAUCACGGGAGACACACGGCGGGUGCUAACGUCCGUCGUGAAGAGGGAAACAACCCAGACCGCCAGCUAAGGUCCCAAAGUCACAGUUAAGUGGGAAACGAUGUGGGAAGGCACAGACAGCCAGGAUGUUGGCUUAGAAGCAGCCAUCAUUUAAAGAAAGCGUAAUAGCUCACUGGUCGAGUCGGCCUGCGCGGAAGAUGUAACGGGGCUAAACUGUGCACCGAAGCUGCGGCAGCGACACUAUGUGUUGUUGGGUAGGGGAGCGUUCUGUAAGCCUGCGAAGGUGGCCUGUGAGGGUUGCUGGAGGUAUCAGAAGUGCGAAUGCUGACAUAAGUAACGAUAAUGCGGGUGAAAAGCCCGCACGCCGGAAGACCAAGGGUUCCUGUCCAACGUUAAUCGGGGCAGGGUGAGUCGACCCCUAAGGCGAGGCCGAAAGGCGUAGUCGAUGGGAAACAGGUUAAUAUUCCUGUACUUGGUGUUACUGCGAAGGGGGGACGGAGAAGGCUAUGUUAGCCGGGCGACGGUUGUCCCGGUUUAAGCAUGUAGGCGGAGGUUCCAGGUAAAUCCGGUACCUUUUAACGCUGAGGUGUGAUGACGAGGCACUACGGUGCUGAAGUAACAAAUGCCCUGCUUCCAGGAAAAGCCUCUAAGCAUCAGGUAACAUUAAAUCGUACCCCAAACCGACACAGGUGGUCAGGUAGAGAAUACCAAGGCGCUUGAGAGAACUCGGGUGAAGGAACUAGGCAAAAUGGUGCCGUAACUUCGGGAGAAGGCACGCUGAUAUGUAGGUGAAGCCCCUGCGGGUGGAGCUGAAAUCAGUCGAAGAUACCAGCUGGCUGCAACUGUUUAUUAAAAACACAGCACUGUGCAAACACGAAAGUGGACGUAUACGGUGUGACGCCUGCCCGGUGCCGGAAGGUUAAUUGAUGGGGUUAUCCGUAAGGAGAAGCUCUUGAUCGAAGCCCCGGUAAACGGCGGCCGUAACUAUAACGGUCCUAAGGUAGCGAAAUUCCUUGUCGGGUAAGUUCCGACCUGCACGAAUGGCGUAAUGAUGGCCAGGCUGUCUCCACCCGAGACUCAGUGAAAUUGAACUCGCUGUGAAGAUGCAGUGUACCCGCGGCAAGACGGAAAGACCCCGUGAACCUUUACUAUAGCUUGACACUGAACAUUGAGCCUUGAUGUGUAGGAUAGGUGGGAGGCUUUGAAGCGUGGACGCCAGUCUGCGUGGAGCCAACCUUGAAAUACCACCCUUUAAUGUUUGAUGUUCUAACGUUGGCCCCUGACCGGGGUUGCGGACAGUGUCUGGUGGGUAGUUUGACUGGGGCGGUCUCCUCCCAAAGAGUAACGGAGGAGCACGAAGGUUAGCUAAUCCUGGUCGGACAUCAGGAGGUUAGUGCAAUGGCAUAAGCUAGCUUGACUGCGAGCGUGACGGCGCGAGCAGGUGCGAAAGCAGGUCAUAGUGAUCCGGUGGUUCUGAAUGGAAGGGCCAUCGCUCAACGGAUAAAAGGUACUCCGGGGAUAACAGGCUGAUACCGCCCAAGAGUUCAUAUCGACGGCGGUGUUUGGCACCUCGAUGUCGGCUCAUCACAUCCUGGGGCUGAAGUAGGUCCCAAGGGUAUGGCUGUUCGCCAUUUAAAGUGGUACGCGAGCUGGGUUUAGAACGUCGUGAGACAGUUCGGUCCCUAUCUGCCGUGGGCGCUGGAGAAUUGAGGGGGGCUGCUCCUAGUACGAGAGGACCGGAGUGGACGCAUCACUGGUGUUCGGGUUGUCAUGCCAAUGGCAUUGCCCGGUAGCUAAAUGCGGAAGAGAUAAGUGCUGAAAGCAUCUAAGCACGAAACUUGCCCCGAGAUGAGUUCUCCCUGAGACUUUAAGUCUCCUGAAGGAACGUUAAAGACGAUGACGUUGAUAGGUCGGGUGUGUAAGCGUAGCGAUACGUUGAGCUAACCGAUACUAAUGAACCGUGAGGCUUAACCUU